Mesocricetus auratus (golden hamster) is the source of this 5051-nucleotide long non-coding RNA. RefSeq lists it as uncharacterized. The record is from RefSeq and is a predicted model, not a curated record. NCBI's taxonomy places the organism in Eukaryota, Metazoa, Chordata, Mammalia, Rodentia, Cricetidae. The transcript has 2 exons.
CACCAAUUCCACUCUUAAGCAUAUAUCCAAAAGAUGCAAAUUCAUACAACAAGGACAUCUGUUCCUCUAUGUUCAUAGCAGCAUUAUGUGUCAUAGCCAGAACCUGGAAACAGGACCCCACCCAGCUAAUCCUGCAAAUUGUGAGAAGAAAAGAAAGGCCUUGUCCCUAAAGAGCAACAACAAAUCAGAGAUUAUGUCAAUACACUUCAUGAUGGGUCCUGGUUUCAGGUUUCAUGCUAAGCAGGCAGCAGAACUUGGCAACUUUGGUCAUGUGGUUCUGGCCUUCCGAGUCAUGAAAGAAAUUAGAGUAAAUUGGUUGUGGAAUCAUCCACUGUGGAUGAGGAAAGCUGCUGAGGCCAGGCAUGUGUCAGGGGUGUCCCUGCAUGGAAGCUGAGAGAGGCUAUUAUGUUCAAUCCUCGAUUUUAUUGGAGACCUCUAGAUGUUGGAUGUGCCAGAGCCAUGGGAUACCUGCCAAGGAAAGCUGCUAACAGAUAGUGGAAGCAGUCCACAAGAAUAGAGCCUGUUGCCUCCAACAGAGCUGAAGGGAGCAGGAGAGCUGAAGAGCCCUUUGAUGUUAGACAUGAGAUGCAGAGUUUGGAGUUCAUCAAGCUUGGGUUUUGCUUUGGUUCAGUUUUUCUUCCCUAUGCCCUCUUUUCUCCCUUUUUGAAUGGAAAUGUGUAUGCUAUGUCAUUGUAUGUUGAAAAAUGUAAUUUGAGUUUUGUUUUUAUAUGAGGUUACAAGUAAGAGAUUGCCUUGUGUUUCUGAAGAGAUUUUGGACUUUGAAAUAUCAUUGAGACUGUGAAAGGCCAUGGGGACUUUCCACGUUUGACUAAGUGAAUCUUGCUUUAUGAUAUCGCCACAAGCCUAUGGAGGGGCAGAGAAUGGAAUGUGGUCGUUUCAACAAACCUCCAUAGGCUUACAUAUUUGACUGCUUGGUCCUGAGUCAUUGGAACUGUUUGGGGGGAUGAGGAGUUGUGACUUUUGUAGGAGGUGUGUCACUGGAGGUGGCUUGGAGGUUUCAAAAACCCACACAACAUGGACAGGCCUCUCUCUGAGGAUAGGGGAGGAACAGAGAAUGGAGAACACUCUAUUUCUGACAGAGUGUGCAGGUUAGAUUGGAAACAGAAACACGAAGUGCUGUGUGGAGAACCUGUGAAUGCUGGAGGAUGGGGAGAGAGCAUUUUGUCACCUCUUCCCACAACCCCUCACCCACACAGGGGAGCCCUUUGUGACAGAGAGAGACAGGAGCUCUGUGAUGUAGGCCUGGGUCCAGCUGCCAACUCCCAGAGAGACCUCUCAGAGUUCAGUUGCCAGAGAUUCAGAUGGAGAGUUUUCUCUCUCAUCUGGAAAGUGUGGAUACUUCAUGGCUGACCCCCAGCUUCACCAGUUGGGCAAUGGAGAUGAAAUCUGACUUUGCAUAGGCCGGCACACUUCUACCUAUUGUGACCUCUCCUCCACCUUAGCUCACCCUCAUCUUCACCAUGGGAAAUUCACACCACCUCCCAAAAGGUAGAGAAGGGAGAGCCUGCCAAGGUCAGGAAGAAAACCAGGACUGUGAAAGCUUACAGAGGCAGGAGAAGGAGGACAAGCUGCUGGUUUCACUUCUCCACAGGAUACUAGAGAGGCUUGUCAUUGCCAUCAGCUUUGACUAACUCUUAGGAAAAGAUACCUUAGGUGAAGCAUCCAAACCAGAAGCUGCCAAAGCCCACCUGCCACUAGGGAGCCCAGGGAAGUGUCUGAGGCCACCAAUUUGUUCCUAUGCACUUUCUCCACUCCUCUUGAGGAACACCUGCUGACUAAAGAUUCUAAAAUCUUGUCACAUGUCUUACUGGAUACCCCAGCUUCUACUGAGUCACAGUCCUCUGUGAGUGUCUCUCAGUCACCAGAGACCUUGACUCCUGGAAGACACCAUUCAACACCAACACCAUCAGGGCUGCCUUCUCAUCCCCCUCACCUUCUGAUACUGUGGCUUGCACUCCAACCAUGCUGAUCCUAGCAUGAUGGCUUCUCAGUGUGACUGAGGAUUUCACAGCACUCAUCUCUGCCAGCAUAGGAUCACAAAAUGAGAGGCAGGAGCCCCAACUCUCUAUGAAGAAACAACAGGAACCCCUUGGAUGCUGGAGGGAGAGGACCCCCAAGUCCCCUCAGUGGUGAGUGCUACAUUUUUUUAAGUUUAUAAUUUUAAUUCCUCUAAUUGCAUUUCAAAAACAUUACACUAAGGCCAUCUUUAUGAAUGUGUCUUACAAUAGAUAUUUGUCUGAGAGGACACUGAAACCUUAGAGAAGGAGAGAGGACUAUGGCAUUUGAGGAAGAUCAGGGGGAACCUAGGUUCCUUUCACAGUCCUCAAGCUGUGGUCUUGCACUCAUGUUCUGUGUAGUUCUUGGUGAUUCAAGCUUUUUUCUGAAAAUGUUAGAAAACUAAGUGAUGGUCAGAUGUUAACAGAGUCAUGAGACAUGAUAGGGCUGCAACCCAUUUAAGCAGAAGUGCUGACAGAAAAUCUGGUGAUUGCCAAAGAAUUUUCAAACUUGGGGUAAUUUCAUUUUUAUGACUCAGGCUAUUACUUGGACUUGCCAAUAGCUCUUUAAACAAUUGAUAUCUGGUGAAGUCCAUUUUUAAUAUAUCAAACUAAGAAAAUAUCUUAGAUUUCCAGUAUAGUUUAGGGAACAUUUAAAGAUUCCUUAUAUGUGGAGAGUAAUCUGGAAAUAUCUAGUAUGUGCAAAGUCUCUUUGCAAAUCCUUUUGCUUUUCUACUGAAUGCCUACUUCAAGGUUUUUAUCCCUUGGGCAUUUUCCACAUGAACAACGAACUAGAUUUAUAAUGGGAUUUGUGGUGCUGACAUAACAGUUAACAACUGCCUUUCUUCUGUGGCAUCAUCACUCUUUAGAAGAUAAUGUGUAUCUUAGAGAAACUAAGACUCUCUCCAGGUGGCAAUGUGGAAAACUUUCUAGGACACAUUAGGAAACAACACUUGUAGAAGUAUUCAAUUGCAAUAUUCCAUAGUACAGUAUAGUCCAUAAAGGAUGCUAAAUAUACAUGUUUAAAGGAAAACAUAUAAAGGUAAACUGUAUAGGCAUUUACAGAAAAAUGCUCUAAAAUAACAUGAUAGAAAAUGCUAAUAAGAAUUGUCUGUGGAGACCAAGGCAAGAAGAGGGCGACCAUCGAUAAUGAAAUGCAUAGUGAAACCAUUUCAAUUUAUGGUUUAUUUUAACUAUACAAAUGUUACUGUUCAAAAAUAAAAUGUAAAAUUUGAUGUUGAAUUUUAACAUUCUUCACUUUUGCCAUCUUAACAAAGGAAUGUGCCAUUCUCUCUGGUCAACUGAUAGUAAGCACAAUGACCCCAUCAGGCUUGUAAAUACUUUGGUUUAGUGAAGAAAAGACCCACAGGACAAACAUACAAUCUGAAGGUGUUAGACAUUAGGAAUAUUCACAAAAUCUUCUGAUAUUUCCUUCCGUAUUUGUGGCAAUUGUUCUGCACAUUAAUAGAGAAAACCAUGUAACUUUAUCUGUCUAAUGAAAUAUAAGAUGAAGUGUUUCAUCACUUCUGGGCAAAGAUAUAUAUAUAUAUCACAAAUACUGGAAUCUUUUAUUAUUUUUGAUGUCCACCCUGAAAAAUUCUUCCAUCACCAAACUGGUCCUUCAAUUAUCUUAGAAUAAUAUAAUUUCCUGUGGCUCAUUACAUAUGUUUCAUUUGCUGAGUGCCAACUACUCUGACCCGAGAAGACAGUUCUUUGACCUGAAAUCAACGCUGUUUACCCUGUAAUGGAAUGUACAUGUUUAUUGUUAUUGUGACUUGACUUCAACAAUCAUUUAAAUUCUUCUCUAAAAGAUUCCAAAUUUCAUGUAUUCAGCUUGAACUCCAAAGGAAUGGAUAGUGGACAUUUGUGCCCUAGAUCCUUAUCAUUUUUGAGUGGUAAUGUACUGAGAAACCGUCUCACAGUAAUAAGUCCCUUCAGUCCUGGAAGUCUGAAAAUCUAGAACCUAUCUCUCCAGCGCCCAACACACACACAGACAAAGAAAAAUCUAAAGAUUCCUUGUCUACUCUGAGUCACGUGGUCCUGCCUAAUCAAACUCUUAAUACCUUGACCCACCACUCAAACAAAUCUUCCAUCUAAUAGCUACAAAUUAUUAUUGAAGUCAUCAUUCUCUUGGAAAUAGUAAAAAUGAAAAAUCUAAAAUAUCUAGUACUUUUAUAUGGUAUUAUUUUGUAAUAUUUUUUAAAUGAAAAAGAAAGAAGAGUCAUCUGCUUACCAAGAUAACCAGAGUAAGGAAUUUAAGCCUCAUUCUUCAGAGAAUGUUGAAUUAUUGACCAAGUUUGAUGACACAAAUAUUUCACCAAGAUAGGUGCUUUCUGACUCAAGUGAAUUUAGUGUAGUAUGUGUUAAACAAAAUAUCUGAGCAGUAGUAAAUUGUAAUAGAUAGGAUCGGUCCCUGCUGUCACGUUACAAAGCAACAUAGGAGUUCUUACCCCUGACCUCUUGCCCUGUAGAUUAGUUUGCCAGGAUACACAGCAGACCACCUCUCCCACUGACAUCUUGCCCAUGCAUCUACAAGUACACUUUCACCCUUCCCCUCCUCACUUCUCCUAAACAAAUCCCUUUGUGAUGAGUAAAGACCCCAACUUGAUCACAAUCCUGUCUUGGUGUCUGUUCUCGUAUCCCCUUGUCCUCUGUCUUUCUCCUAGGUGUCUACCAGACCAACUUGAAUGCCCUGCUGGUUAGGGCAGUUUUGGUGCUCAUGAUGGCCUCAUGUUGGAUACCCAGGAGUGACAUGCCUGAGUGAAGGGCCCAUCCAGAGUGUCCUCCAGGGGACAGCACAUUCUUCAUUUCAGUGACCCACCGAAAAGCACAAGACGACGAGGUGGUGGUGAGCAAUGGCCGAGAUCGUACCUCCAAUAUAAGUGAUGGGACAGGGAAUUUGUUGACAUAGUGUCUUUAUUUCCAGGCUCAAGGGAGCCCUCAGGAUACGAGGAAUCAGGGAUAAAAAGAAGGAUCUUGUACAAUUCUUACGUGAAACAUGGGUAAAAAAUAAAGAUAUAAAGAGGUUGUAACUUA